RNAcentral lists this ribosomal RNA (253 nucleotides) under uncultured bacterium. RNAcentral's name for it is "partial 16S ribosomal RNA". It matches the Rfam family "Bacterial small subunit ribosomal RNA", at positions 524 to 776 of the family's 1533-position model. The record is from RNAcentral.
UACGAAGGGGACUAGCGUUGUCCGGAAUUACUGGGCGUAAAGAGCUCGUAGGUGGUUUGUCGCGUUGUUCGUGAAAACUCACAACUCAAUUGUGGGCGUGCGGGCGAUACGGGCAGACUGGAGUACUGCAGGGGAGACUGGAAUUCCUGGUGUAGCGGUGGAAUGCGCAGAUAUCAGGAGGAACACCGGUGGCGAAGGCGGGUCUCUGGGCAGUAACUGACGCUGAGGAGCGAAAGCGUGGGGAGCGAACAGG